Molecule: ribosomal RNA, 468 nt
Filed under: uncultured bacterium
Lineage: Bacteria
Description: partial 16S ribosomal RNA
Rfam family: Bacterial small subunit ribosomal RNA
Source: RNAcentral
GACGAACGCUGGCGGCGUGCUUAACACAUGCAAGUCGAACGGAAAGGCCCUGCUUUUGUGGGGUGCUCGAGUGGCGAACGGGUGAGUAACACGUGAGUAACCUGCCCUUGACUUUGGGAUAACUUCACGAAACUGGGGCUAAUACCGGAUAGGAGCUCCUGCUGCAUGGUGGGGGUUGGAAAGUUUCGGCGGUUGGGGAUGGACUCGCGGCUUAUCAGCUUGUUGGUGGGGUAGUGGCUUACCAAGGCUUUGACGGGUAGCCGACCUGAGAGGGUGACCGGCCACAUUGGGACUGAGAUACGGCCCAGACUCCUACGGGAGGCAGCAGUGGGGAAUAUUGCACAAUGGGCGGAAGCCUGAUGCAGCAACGCCGCGUGCGGGAUGACGGCCUUCGGGUUGUAAACCGCUUUCGCCUGUGACGAAGCGUGAGUGACGGUAAUGGGUAAAGAAGCACCGGCUAACUACGUG